GAAUACCCGCGGCAAGGAAACCUCCUCCCUUCCAACCCGCGGGUCCAGAUCGGCAUCCUCCUCCCGCCGGUCUGACACAGGAAAAGGCCGGGACCUCCUCCCCCCGGCCUUUUUCCUU
This 118-nucleotide small RNA is filed under the name Aquamicrobium sp. LC103. Its description in RNAcentral is "Mesorhizobium sp. LC103 Alphaproteobacterial ar14". It matches the Rfam family "Alphaproteobacterial ar14". From Rfam's summary of the family: Smr14C2 was renamed NfeR1 (Nodule Formation Efficiency RNA) highly expressed in salt stress and during the symbiotic interaction on legume roots. Lineage: Bacteria; Pseudomonadati; Pseudomonadota; Alphaproteobacteria; Hyphomicrobiales; Phyllobacteriaceae. The record is from Rfam by way of RNAcentral.